Molecule: ribosomal RNA, 505 nt
Filed under: uncultured bacterium
Lineage: Bacteria
Description: partial 16S ribosomal RNA
Rfam family: Bacterial small subunit ribosomal RNA
Source: RNAcentral
ACUCAAAGGAAUAGACGGGGGCUCACACAAGCGGUGGAGCAUGUUGCUUAAUUCGAGGCAACGCGAAGAACCUUACCUGGGUUUGACAUGGCUGGAUUAACUCCUGGAAACAGGAGCCACGCCCGCAAGGGUGGAACAGUCACAGGUGCUGCAUGGCUGUCGUCAGCUCGUGCUGUGAAGUGUCGGGUUAAGUCCUCUAACGAGCGCAACCCCUGUCGUUAGUUGCUCACGGGUAAUGCCGAGUACUCUAGCGAGACUGCCGUUGUAAGACGGAGGAAGGCGGGGAUGACGUCAAGUCCUCAUGGCCCUUACAUCCAGGGUUGCAAACGUGCUACAAUGGCGCGCACAAAGCGACGCGAGGCCGCAAGGCGGAGCAAAUCGCAAAAAACGCGCCCCAGUUCGGAUUGCAGGCUGCAACCCGCCUGCAUGAAGUCGGAAUCGCUAGUAAUCGGAGAUCAGCUACGCUCCGGUGAAUAAGUUCCUGAGCCUUGUACACACCGCCCGU